ACUCAAAGGAAUUGACGGGGGCCCGCACAAGCGGCGGAGCAUGCGGCUUAAUUCGAUGCAACGCGAAGAACCUUACCUGGGCUUGACAUAUGCCGAAAACUCGUAGAGAUACGGGGUCCUUCGGGGCGGUAUACAGGUGGUGCAUGGUUGUCGUCAGCUCGUGUCGUGAGAUGUUGGGUUAAGUCCCGCAACGAGCGCAACCCUUGUCCUAUAUUGCCAGCGGGUUAUGCCGGGGACUUAUGGGAGACUGCCGGGGUCAACUCGGAGGAAGGUGGGGAUGACGUCAAAUCAUCAUGCCCUUUAUGUCCAGGGCUGCACGCAUGCUACAAUGGCCGGUACAAACAGUUGCGAUGCCGUGAGGUGGAGCGAAUCUGAAAAAGCCGGUCUCAGUUCGGAUCGAAGUCUGCAACUCGACUUCGUGAAGUUGGAGUCGCUAGUAAUCGCAGAUCAGCAACGCUGCGGUGAAUACGUUCCCGGGCCUUGCACACACCGCCCGU
Molecule: ribosomal RNA, 497 nt
Filed under: uncultured bacterium
Lineage: Bacteria
Description: partial 16S ribosomal RNA
Rfam family: Bacterial small subunit ribosomal RNA
Source: RNAcentral